This 443-nucleotide ribosomal RNA is filed under the name Helicotheca tamesis. RNAcentral describes it as "partial Bacterial large subunit ribosomal RNA". It matches the Rfam family "Bacterial large subunit ribosomal RNA", at positions 801 to 1238 of the family's 2925-position model. The record is from RNAcentral. Lineage: Eukaryota; Bacillariophyta; Thalassiosirophyceae; Lithodesmiales; Lithodesmiaceae.
UGGAUGACUUGUGGGUAGCGGAGAAAUUCCAAACGAACUUGGAGAUAGCUGGUUCUCUCCGAAAUAGCUUUAGGGCUAGCCUUGAGUCAUUGUGUUGUGGGGGUAGAGCUACUGAUCUCGUUUGGGGCCCUUCCCAGGGUACCCUGCGUAACCAAACUCCGAAUACCACAACAUCUAUCUCAGGAGUCAGUCCACGUGGGAGAAGCUGCGUGGUCGAGAGGGAAACAACCCAGAUCGCCUGCUAAGGUCCCUAAAACUUGCUGAGUCACAAAGGAUGUCUGAAUACUGUGACAGCCGGGAUGUUGGCUUAGAAGCAGCCACCAUUUAAAAAGUGCGUAAUAGCUUACCGGUCGAGUAUUCUGGCACCGAUAAUGAACGGGAGUAAGCAAGUUGCCGAAGCAGCGGGCUUGAUCGUAGCGAUACGGUCGAGCGGUAGGAGAGCG